RNAcentral lists this long non-coding RNA (231 nucleotides) under Elaeis guineensis (African oil palm). Its description in RNAcentral is "long non-coding RNA (EGUI_LNC031662)". Lineage: Eukaryota; Viridiplantae; Streptophyta; Magnoliopsida; Arecales; Arecaceae. The record is from RNAcentral.
CUUGAGCUAACUCAAGAAUUGGUUAAGUCGACUCAACAGCUCCUAAUAGCUCUAACAGCUAGUUUUCAGAAAGCUACAGAAAUAAUUUGAGAAGCUCUAAAUGGCUAUUUCUUGUACUCCAACGACUGUAAAUUCAUGUUUAGUGAUGUUAACUUGAAUUAGAGGGUGUCUAAACCAUUAUUAAAAUAAAAAAAAACUUAAGAAAAUAAAGAAAUACAUAAGAAAGAAUAG